UGGCUGAGCUGCUGAGGUGCUCUUCAGUAGCAGUCAAAGUUGAGGUAGACAGAGUGUGAAGUUGAGAUGAAGUGGUUGAAGAGGCCGGACCACUUUGGUCACUGGGAGCAAAUGAUGGAGAUGGAGAUAUUGAAGCCCCUUGCGUAGGAGCGCAUGAUGGCCACAAGAGGGCGCUCUUCCGAGAAAAAAACAACAACAACACACUUUCGUGGCGCGCCCCAGUCAUUUUGCGCCCUAGGCAACUGACUAUUGUCGCCUAUGCCACGGCCCUGGCUGAGUGCUCAUGUCUGCUUGAAUGUUGAAAGCCCAUUUUCUAAUGCAUUCCCUCUCGUUUUUUGAUGAAUUCUUAGAUCAACAGUUCCUGUUCCAUCAACAAUCCCCUGCUGGUAGAUGUCGUAACUACACCAUUACUCAGCGGACAGGUGACAACUUUGUGGGCGGAAGUUCUGAUGCUCAUUUUCCCCUCUGUGAGUGUUCAUAAAAGUGCGAGUUGUGGUGAGCCGAGAUAAUACGCAUCAGACUCACAAGAGAAGAUGAGGUGUGCUUCUGUAACCCUUCUGCUGUGCCUGGCUACAAUACUGCUCGCUCAAGUCACCUGCCAAAUAAACGGCCGGUCAAGUUGCCUUUGUCUCAAGACAUCAAAUCGGGUUCCCCGCAAGGAAAAUAUUGAAAGUUACAUGAUACAGAAUGCAGGCGCCUGCCAUAUUGAUGCCAUUUUAUUUAAAACUGUCAAAGGUCGUUUCAUUUGCGCUGAUCCUAAAAACCUUUUGGCAAUAAAUGCCAGGAAAUAUUUGGACAGCAAGAAGAAGGCAGCUGAAACAACAGACCGUCCCGUAAACUCUGCAUCAACAUUUAAAUCAGCAUCGAUGCUGAAUACCACACCAUAAUGGAAUAUAACGGGAUGAACUAAGAACUACUUCACUUGAACUGUGCAAUUUUUUUUUUUUUUUUUUACAUAUGUCUGUGAUGUUUGUGUUGGAUUUUAUUUUAUUUGCACAUG
Onychostoma macrolepis is the source of this 1000-nucleotide RNA transcript. It is a transcript of the gene named chemokine (C-X-C motif) ligand 32b, duplicate 1, with no coding region annotated. The record is from RefSeq and is a predicted model, not a curated record. Lineage: Eukaryota; Metazoa; Chordata; Actinopteri; Cypriniformes; Cyprinidae. The transcript is spliced from 6 exons.